Molecule: long non-coding RNA, 367 nt
Filed under: Malus domestica (apple)
Lineage: Eukaryota; Viridiplantae; Streptophyta; Magnoliopsida; Rosales; Rosaceae
Description: long non-coding RNA (MDOM_LNC016251)
Source: RNAcentral
GUUGACAUGAGUGAUGCUCAUGAAUGUUUAUGUAUGAUUAACAUGAGUGAUGCUUAUGAAUGUUGAUGUAUGAUGAACAUGAGUGAUGCUCAUGUAUAAUUUUGGAGUACUGGACAUACUUUUGAUCACCUGGUUGGUGAUAAUAGCAGCAGGUUGCCGAAUAAUUUUGGAGUACUGGGCGUACUUUUGAUCACCUGGUUGGUGGUAAUAGCGGCAGGCAGCCGAAUAAUUUUUUGUAGUACUGGACGUACUUUUGAUCACCUGGUUGGUGAUAAUAACGGCAGGGUGCCGAAUAAUUUUUGAGUAUUGGGCGUACUUUUAAUCACCUGGUUGAUGAUAAUAGCGGCAGGCUGCCGAAUAAUUUUUU